Molecule: ribosomal RNA, 403 nt
Filed under: bacterium
Lineage: Bacteria
Description: partial 16S ribosomal RNA
Rfam family: Bacterial small subunit ribosomal RNA
Source: RNAcentral
UGGGGAAUAUUGCACAAUGGGGGAAACCCUGAUGCAGCGACGCCGCGUGAACGAAGAAGGUAUUCGUAUCGUAAAGUUCUGUCCUAUGGGAAGAUAAUGACAGUACCAUAGAAGAAAGCUCCGGCUAAAUACGUGCCAGCAGCCGCGGUAAUACGUAUGGAGCGAGCGUUGUCCGGAAUUUUUGGGCGUAAAGGGUACGCAGGCGGUUUAAUAAGUCGAAUGUUAAAGAUCGGGGCUCAACCACGCUAAGCAUUGGAAACUGAUAAACUUGAGUAGUGGAGAAGAAAGUGGAAUUCCUAGUGUAGUGGUGAAAUACGUAGUUAUUAGGAGGAAUACCAGUAGCGAAGGCGACUUUCUGGACACAAACUGACGCUGAGGUACGAAAGCGUGGGGAGCAAACAGG